This 550-nucleotide ribosomal RNA is filed under the name uncultured bacterium. RNAcentral's name for it is "bacterial SSU rRNA". It matches the Rfam family "Bacterial small subunit ribosomal RNA", at positions 355 to 896 of the family's 1533-position model. The record is from RNAcentral.
UGAGGAAUAUUGCGCAAUGGGGGAAACCCUGACGCAGCAACGCCGCGUGGGUGAAGAAGGCCUUCGGGUCGUAAAGCCCUUUCGGACGGGACGAACGCUCCGCGGUGACAACCCGCGGAGCCUGACGGUACCGUAAGAAGAAGCACCGGCUAACUCCGUGCCAGCAGCCGCGGUAAUACGGAGGGUGCAAGCGUUGUUCGGAAUUACUGGGCGUAAAGCGCGUGUAGGCGGCCUUGCAAGCCAGACGUGAAAGCCCUCGGCUUAACCGGGGAAGUGCGUCUGGAACUGCUCGGCUCGAGUACGGGAGAGGGAGGCGGAAUUCCCAGUGUAGAGGUGAAAUUCGUAGAUAUUGGGAGGAACACCGGUGGCGAAAGCGGCCUCCUGGACCGAUACUGACGCUGAGACGCGAAAGCGUGGGGAGCAAACAGGAUUAGAUACCCUGGUAGUCCACGCUGUAAACGAUGGGCACUAGGUGUGGGGGGUAUCCACUCCUCCCGUGCCGCAGCUAACGCACUAAGUGCCCCGCCUGGGGAGUACGGCCGCAAGGUUA